AAUUUGCUUUAAAAAGUUUUACACUGUAUUGUGUACAUUUUCCAGGUCAGUGGAUAUAAAGUGAAUUUCAUGCGCAUCCGUGUGAAGAGACCACCAAACAGGCUUUGUGUGAGCAAUAAAGCUGUUUAUUUCACCUGGGUGCAGGUGGGCUGAGUCCGAAAAGAGAGUCAGCGAAGGGAGAUGGGGUGGGGCUGUUUUAUAGGAUUUGGGUAGGUAAAGGAAAAAGGGGGGUUGUUCUCUGGUGGGCAGGAGUGGGGGGUCACAAGGAACUCAGUGGGGGAGCUUUUGAGCCAGGAUGAGCCAGGAGAAGGAAUUUCACAAGACAAUGUCAUCAGUUAAAGCAGGAACAGGCCAUUUUCACUUCUUUUGUGGUGGAAUGUCAUCAGUUAAGGCAGGAACUGGUCAUCUGGAUGUGUACGUGCAGGUCACAGGGGAUAUGAUGGCUUAGCUUGGGCUCAGAGGCCUGACAUUCCUGUCUUCUUAUAUUAAUAAGAAAAAUAAAAUGAAAUAGUGGUAAAGUGUUUGGACAGCGAAAAUUUUGGGGGAUGGUAUGGAGAGAUAAUGGGCGAUGUUUCUCAGGGCUACUUCGAGCAGGAUUAGGGGUGGCGUGGGAACCUAGAGUGGGAGAGAUUAAGCUGAAGGGAGAUCUUGUGGUAAGGGGUGAUAUUGUGGGGUUGUUAGAAGAAACACUUGUCAUGUAGAAUUAUUGGUGAUGGCCUGGAUACGGUUUUGUAUGAAUUGAAAAAGUAAAUGGAAUAAGAGGAGAAAAGCAGGUAUUAAAGGACUAAGAAUUGGGAGGACCUAGGACAUAUAAUUAGAGUGCCUUAGGAGAUUCAUCAUAGUCCUGCCAGCAAAAAUUAUUUAUUUACUUCAAGAGUUAAGAGCGGUGGUUUGGGGAUAACACCAGGAGAUAUCAGCUGUGCUGGCUUGGAGAAACAGUGUAAACUGGCAGUGUAAACAAGAGCAGGGCAUGUAUGAGUAGUUGAGAACGGUGAAUAGAAGUAGGACUAGACAGAAGACAGUAGGGAUGACAAGUUUUUGGGGCACAGUCCAAGUUGGUCUAGUGUCUGGAAUGAGACUGGGGCCUAAUAAAAAGGAGCUCAAGUGGGCUGUACCUUGUAGCAUUCCGAGGACAGGCCUUAAUUCUGAGAAGCGAAAGUGGUAAAAGUAUUGUCCAGUCCUUUUUAAGUUGGUGGCUGAGCUUGGUGAGGUGUGUUUUUAAAAGACCAUUAGUCUGUUCUACUUUUCCUGAAGACUGAGGACUGUAAGGGAUAUAAAGGUUUCACUGAAUACUAACACCUGAAAAACUGCUUGGCUGAUUUGACUAAUAAAGGCUGAUCUGUUAUCAGACUGUAUAGAGGUGGGAAGGCUAAACUGAGGAAUUAUGUCUGACAGAAGGGAAGAAAUGACUGUGGUGGCCUUCUCAGACCCUGUAGGAAAGGACUCUACCUAUCCAGUGUAAGUGUCUACCUAGACUAAGAGGUAUUUUAGUUAUCUGACUCGGGGCAUGUUGAGUAAAGCUAAUUUGCCAGUCCUGGGUGGGGGCAAAUCCUCGAGCUUGAAGUGUAGGGAAGGGAGGGGGGCCUGAAUAAUCCUUGAGGAGUAGUAGAAUAGCAGAUGGAACACUGAGAAGUUAUUUCCUUGAGGAUAGAUUUCCACGAUGGAAAGGAAAUGAGAGGUUUUAAGAGGCGGGCUAGUGACUUGUACUAUAGCAUAGCCUGCCUUUGCUGGUGUGUGGCGAUUAGGCCUGGUGGAACUGCCAUCAAUAAACUAAGUGCGAUCAGGGUGAGAAACAGGGAAGAAGGAAAUGCGGGGAAAUGGGGUGAACGUCAGGUGGAUCAGAGAGAUGCAGUCAUGAGGGCCAGGUGUGGUAUCAGGAAUAAUGUGGGAGGCCGGAUUGAAGUCCCGGCCAGGAACAAUGGUAAUUGUGGAACUUAACAAAGAGUGAGUACAGCUGAAGGAGCUGGGGAGCAGAAAGUAUAUGCGUCAGGUAUGAGGAAGAAAAUAGAUUUUGGAAGUUAUGAGAAAUGUAGAGAGUAAGUUGAGCAUAGUUUGUGAUUUUGAGGGCCUCUAAAAGUAUUAGGGCGGCAGCAGCCGCUGCACUGAGAUAUGAUGGCUAGGCUAAAACAGUAAGGUCAAGUUGUUUGGACAGAAAGGCUACAGGGUGCAGUCCUGGCUCUUGUGUAAGAAUUCUGACCGCACUAACUGUGCCUAGGAAGGAAAGGAGUUGUUGUUUUGUAAGGGAUUGAGGUUUGGGCGAUUAGUCGGACACGAUCAGCAGGCAGAGCACAUGUGUUUUUAUGAGAAUUAUGCCGAGAUAGGUAACAGAUGAGGAUGAAAUUUGGGCUUGACUGAAGUAAUGGGGGCUGUCUGUGAAGCCUUGCGGCAGUACAGCCCAGGUAAUUUGCUGAGCCUAAUGGGCGUCAGGGUCAGUCCAAGUGAAAGCAAAGAGAGGCUGGGAUAAAGGGUGCAGAGGAAUAGUAAAGAAAGCAUAUUUGAGAUCCAGAACAGAAUAAUGGGUUGUAGAGGGAGGUAUUGAGGAUAGGAGAGUAUAUGGGUUUGGCACCACGGGGUGGAUAGGCAAAACAAUUUGGUUGAUAAGGCGCAGAUCCUGAAGUAACCUGUAAGUCUUGUCUGGUUCUAGGACAGGUAAAAUGGGGGAAUUGUAAGGAGAGUUUAUAGGCUUUAAAAGGCCAUGCUGUAGCAGGUGAUUGAUAAUAGGCUUUAAUCCUUUUAAAGCAUGCUGUGGGAUGGGAUAUUGGCAUUGAGCGGGGUAGGGGUGAUUAGGUUUUAAUGAGAUGGUAAGGGGUGCAUGAUGGGUCACCAAGGAGGGAGUAGAGGUAUCUUAUACUUGUGGGUUAAAGUUGGGGGAUACAAGAGGAGGACGCAAAGGAGGCUUUGGAUUGGGAAGAAGGGCGGCAAUGAGAUGCAGCUGUAGUCCAGGAAUAGUCAGGGAAGCAGAUAAUUUAGUUAAAGUGUCUCGGCCUAAUAAGGGAACUGGGCAGGUGGGGAUAACUAAAAAGGAGUGCUUAAAAGAGUGUUGUCUAAGUUGGCACCAGAGUUGGGGAGUUUUAAGAGGUUUAGAAGCCUGGCUGUCAAUACCCACAACAGUUAUGGAGGCAAGGGAAACCGGCCCUUGAAAAUAAGGUAAUGUGGAGUGAGUAGCCUCCGUAUUAAGAAGGGGAAGUACUUACCCUCCACUGUGAGAGUUACCCAAAGCUCGGCGUCCGUGAUGAUCUAGGGGGCUUCUGAGGUGAUCAGGCAGCGUCAGUCUUCAGCUGCUAAGCCAAGAAGAUCUGGGAAGGAGUCAGAGAGCCUUGGGCCAGAGUUCCAGGGGCUCUGGGAGUGGCUGCCAGGUGAGUUGGACAGUCCAAUUUCCAGUGGGGUCCUGCACAGAUGGGAAGCGGCUUAGGAGGAAUCCUGGGCUGCAGGCAUUCCUUGGCCUGGUGGCCAGAUUUCUGGCACUUGUAGCAAGCUACUGGGGGAGGAGGUUCUGGAGGAACGCCUGGCUGCUGCGGUUCAGGUGUUUGGAAGUUCUUGUGUGCUGGAGAUGUGGCUGGGGUUUGUCUCACAGUGGAGGCAAGGAAUUGCAACUGUUUUCUAUUAUUGUACACCUUGAAGGCUUCUCCUUGGGCUACUUGAGCAUCCACAGUGUGGCAACUGGGUUCCAAGAAUGAGUUUUCCAAGAGGCAGCAGUGGAAGCUGCCAGUGUUGUAAGAUCUCGGCUUGGAAACUGGCACGGCGUUACUUCCACCUUACUUCAUUGGUCAAGGGAGUUCCAGAGCCCACUCACAUUCAAGAAAAGGGCACCGAGAGCCCACCUCUUCAUGGGAGGACUGUCAAAAUUUUGUGGCCAUCUUUAAACCACCAUAGGGAUCACCUCUCUCUUUUUCCCGUUUUCAUAUCAUCAUCCUCUUCCUCCUCCUUCCCCAGAAUUGCAAAAAUAUGAGGAAUUAUUGCUACGUACCAGUUACUCUGUUCAGCGUCUCAGCAUCACACAAGAGAGAAGAGACAAUCACAUAUUCACAAGAGAAGCUUCAUUACCUCUACAAUCUAUCACUGAAGAAAAGUCAUUAUUUACGAUCGCUUAUAUUUAACAUGUUUCAAUAUUGCCUAUUACAUAAGCUAGACACUAGAUGGAAAACCAGGAUCAUUGAGACCCAGGACUUAAUCUGUUAUGAGUUUAUAGUCAACAGCUUUGACAUAAGACAGAAUGUGACUAAUUUUAUUGUAGAUCUGUAAGCAAUGUGUUAGGAGAGCACAAACAAGGGGGA
RNAcentral lists this long non-coding RNA (4274 nucleotides) under Homo sapiens (human). RNAcentral's name for it is "HSALNT0322479". The record is from RNAcentral. Lineage: Eukaryota; Metazoa; Chordata; Mammalia; Primates; Hominidae.